Molecule: transfer RNA, 80 nt
Filed under: Paenibacillus roseus
Lineage: Bacteria; Bacillati; Bacillota; Bacilli; Caryophanales; Paenibacillaceae
Rfam family: tRNA
About the family: Transfer RNA (tRNA) molecules are approximately 80 nucleotides in length. Their secondary structure includes four short double-helical elements and three loops (D, anti-codon, and T loops). Further hydrogen bonds mediate the characteristic L-shaped molecular structure. tRNAs have two regions of fundamental functional importance: the anti-codon, which is responsible for specific mRNA codon recognition, and the 3' end, to which the tRNAs corresponding amino acid is attached (by aminoacyl-tRNA synthetases). tRNAs cope with the degeneracy of the genetic code in two manners: having more than one tRNA (with a specific anti-codon) for a particular amino acid; and 'wobble' base-pairing, i.e. permitting non-standard base-pairing at the 3rd anti-codon position.
Source: Rfam by way of RNAcentral
GCUCACUUGGUGAAAUUGGUAGACACGCGAGACUUAAAAUCUCGUCCUUAAGGGUAUCGGUUCGAUUCCGAUAGUGAGCA